GACGAACGCUGGCGGCGUGCUUAACACAUGCAAGUCGAACGGAAAGGCCCUGCUUUUGUGGGGUGCUCGAGUGGCGAACGGGUGAGUAACACGUGAGUAACCUGCCCUUGACUUUGGGAUAACUUCAGGAAACUGGGGCUAAUACCGGAUAGGAGCUCCUGCUGCAUGGUGGGGGUUGGAAAGUUUCGGCGGUUGGGGAUGGACUCGCGGCUUAUCAGCUUGUUGGUGGGGUAGUGGCUUACCAAGGCUUUGACGGGUAGCCGGCCUGAGAGGGUGACCGGCCACAUUGGGACUGAGAUACGGCCCAGACUCCUACGGGAGGCAGCAGUGGGGAAUAUUGCACAAUGGGCGGAAGCCUGAUGCAGCAACGCCGCGUGCGGGAUGACGGCCUUCGGGUUGUAAACCGCUUUCGCCUGUGGCGAAGCGCGAGUGACGGUAAUGGGUAAAGAAGCACCGGCUAACUACGUG
This 468-nucleotide ribosomal RNA is filed under the name uncultured bacterium. RNAcentral describes it as "partial 16S ribosomal RNA". It matches the Rfam family "Bacterial small subunit ribosomal RNA", at positions 28 to 507 of the family's 1533-position model. The record is from RNAcentral.